Molecule: RNA transcript, 2248 nt
Organism: Pygocentrus nattereri (red-bellied piranha)
Lineage: Eukaryota; Metazoa; Chordata; Actinopteri; Characiformes; Serrasalmidae
Gene name: enoyl-[acyl-carrier-protein] reductase, mitochondrial
Exons: 8
Source: RefSeq, a predicted model, not a curated record
GUUCAGUCUUCAUGUAUGACCCUCACUUGGUCUCUGAGGAAGCAGCGGCUGCACGAGAGCCAGACUUACGUGGUGGAAUUCGUCUUAUAGCUCACAUCACUGAGUAAACAAAACUGCUCACUAGCCCCCUCUGGAGGCAGAAUGAUGAGGCGGCUGGCGGUGGGCAGACUGACCCAGGCAGGACUGAGCCUCCUGGGGCAAAAUGUGAGUGGACAGUGGGGGUGCGGAGGUCGGCGGAUGGUACAUCACUGCUCGGCACUGGUCUACAGGGAGCACACGGCCAACAUCGCCGCUGUGAGAUUAGAACAGCUGCCCCUGCCUGCUCUGAGCAGACGCAGCGUCAGAGUGAGGAUGCUGGCAGCGCCGGUCAACCCUGCAGACCUCAACAUGGUUCAGGGAAUGUACCCCAUCCUGUGCCCCCUGCCUGCUGUGGGUGGGAACGAGGGGGUAGGGGAAGUGCUGGAGGUGGGUGAUGAUGUCCACACAGUGAGACCAGGUGACUGGGUGGUGCCCGUGGACACAGGAUUUGGCACAUGGAGAACAGAGGCAGUGUGUGAGGAGGAUGAUCUGAUCACUGUCCCCAAAGAUAUUUCUGUGCUCGGAGCCGCCACGAUCGCAGUAAACCCCUGCACUGCUUUCAGGAUGCUGCAUGACUUCCAAGCACUAAGACCAGGCUGUACAGUGAUCCAGAACGGAGCGAACAGUGCUGUUGGUCAGGCAGUGAUCCAGAUAGCUGCUGCAAUGGGAAUCAGAACCAUCAACAUCAUCAGAGACAGGUAUGCUGGCGUCCAAUCAGAACACACCACGUCAUCAGAGACAGAUAUGCUGGCGUCCAAUCAGAACACACCACAUCAUCAGAGACAGAUAUGCUGGCGUCCAAUCAGAACACACCACGUCAUCAGAGACAGGUAUGCUGGCGUCCAAUCAGAACACACCACAUCAUCAGAGACAGGUAUGCUGGCGUCCAAUCAGAACACACCACAUCAUCAGAGACAGGUAUGCUGGCGUCCGAUCAGAACACACCAUAUCAUCAGAGACAGGUAUGCUGGCGUCCAAUCAGAACACACCACGUCAUCAGAGACAGGUAUGCUGGCGUCCAAUCAGAACACACCACAUCAUCAGAGACAGGUAUGCUGGCGUCCAAUCAGAACACACCACAUCAUCAGAGACAGGUAUGCUGGCGUCCGAUCAGAACACACCAUAUCAUCAGAGACAGGUAUGCUGGCGUCCAAUCAGAACACACCACGUCAUCAGAGACAGGUAUGCUGGCGUCCAAUCAGAACACACCACAUCAUCAGAGACAGGUAUGCUGGCGUCCAAUCAGAACACACCACAUCAUCAGAGACAGGUAUGCUGGCGUCCGAUCAGAACACACCAUAUCAUCAGAGACAGGUAUGCUGGCGUCCAAUCAGAACACACCACGUCAUCAGAGACAGGUAUGCUGGCGUCCAAUCAGAACACACCACAUCAUCAGAGACAGGUAUGCUGGCGUCCAAUCAGAACACACCACGUCAUCAGAGACAGGUAUGCUGGCGUCCGAUCAGAACACACCAUAUCAUCAGAGACAGAUAUGCUGGCGUCCAAUCAGAACACACCACAUCAUCAGAGACAGGUAUGCUGGCGUCCAAUCAGAACACACCACAUCAUCAGAGACAGAUAUGCUGGCGUCCAAUCAGAACACACCACAUCAUCAGAGACAGGUAUGCUGGCGUCCGAUCAGAACACACCAUAUCAUCAGAGACAGAUAUGCUGGCGUCCAAUCAGAACACACCACAUCAUCAGAGACAGGUAUGCUGGCGUCCGAUCAGAACACACCAUAUCAUCAGAGACAGAUAUGCUGGCGUCCAAUCAGAACACACCACAUCAUCAGAGACAGGUAUGCUGGCGUCCAAUCAGAACACACCACGUCAUCAGAGACAGGUACACUAUCACCCAAUCAGAACACACCACGUCACCAGAUUGACAGACAGCCUGUGCUCCUCUAGACGCUCUAAUGUCUGUGAUCCUCAGGCCAAAUCGAGCUGCUGUGGUGAAAGAGCUGCAGACUCUGGGAGCUGAUUAUGUCCUCACAGAGGAGGAAGUGAUGUCAUCAGGACUUCAGCACGUCUUCCAGGAGGCUCCUAAACCCAAACUGGGGCUGAACUGUGUAGGAGGGGUCAGCGGGGGUCUCGUGCUGUCCAGUUUAGACUAUGCAGGCACGCUGGUGACGUAUGGAGGCAUGGCCAAGAAACCUCUGCACAUCCCAGCA